UACGUAGGGCGCAAGCGUUGUCCGGAAUUAUUGGGCGUAAAGAGCUCGUAGGCGGUUUGUCGCGUCUGCUGUGAAAACCCGAGGCUCAACCUCGGGCCUGCAGUGGGUACGGGCAGACUAGAGUGUGGUAGGGGAGACUGGAAUUCCUGGUGUAGCGGUGGAAUGCGCAGAUAUCAGGAGGAACACCAAUGGCGAAGGCAGGUCUCUGGGCCACAACUGACGCUGGAGGAGCGAAAGCGUGGGGAGCGAACAGG
RNAcentral lists this ribosomal RNA (254 nucleotides) under uncultured bacterium. RNAcentral's name for it is "partial 16S ribosomal RNA". It matches the Rfam family "Bacterial small subunit ribosomal RNA", at positions 524 to 776 of the family's 1533-position model. The record is from RNAcentral.